AGAGCGAACGCUGGCGGCAGGCUUAACACAUGCAAGUCGAGCGGGCGUAGCAAUACGUCAGCGGCAGACGGGUGAGUAACGCGUGGGAACAUACCUUUUGGUUCGGAACAACACAGGGAAACUUGUGCUAAUACCAGAUAAGCCCUUACGGGGAAAGAUUUAUCGCCGAAAGAUCGGCCCGCGUCUGAUUAGCUAGUUGGUGGGGUAAUGGCCCACCAAGGCGACGAUCAGUAGCUGGUCUGAGAGGAUGAUCAGCCACAUUGGGACUGAGACACGGCCCAAACUCCUACGGGAGGCAGCAGUGGGGAAUAUUGGACAAUGGGCGCAAGCCUGAUCCAGCCAUGCCGCGUGAGUGAUGAAGGCCCUAGGGUUGUAAAGCUCUUUUGUGCGGGAAGAUAAUGACGGUACCGCAAGAAUAAGCCCCGGCUAACUUCGCGCCAGCAGCCGC
RNAcentral lists this ribosomal RNA (448 nucleotides) under uncultured bacterium. RNAcentral's name for it is "SSU rRNA". It matches the Rfam family "Bacterial small subunit ribosomal RNA", at positions 26 to 518 of the family's 1533-position model. The record is from RNAcentral.